CUGCAGCCCGACUUGAACGGAGCUCAUUUUUUGCGGCGGGAAAUGCGGCGGGAAAAAUAGCGGGAGUGGAAGGCGGAAAAGCU
RNAcentral lists this unclassified non-coding RNA (83 nucleotides) under Epilithonimonas lactis. Its description in RNAcentral is "Chryseobacterium halperniae Flavo-1 RNA". The record is from RNAcentral. Lineage: Bacteria; Pseudomonadati; Bacteroidota; Flavobacteriia; Flavobacteriales; Weeksellaceae.